This 491-nucleotide ribosomal RNA is filed under the name uncultured bacterium. RNAcentral's name for it is "partial 16S ribosomal RNA". It matches the Rfam family "Bacterial small subunit ribosomal RNA", at positions 29 to 507 of the family's 1533-position model. The record is from RNAcentral.
GUGACCCCUUUCUUUAUGCCUAACACAUGCAAGUCGAACGGCAGCACAGUAAGAGCUUGCUCUUACGGGUGGCGAGUGGCGGACGGGUGAGGAAUACAUCGGAAUCUACUUUUUCGUGGGGGAUAACGUAGGGAAACUUACGCUAAUACCGCAUACGACCUACGGGUGAAAGCAGGGGAUCUUCGGACCUUGCGCGAUUGAAUGAGCCGAUGUCGGAUUAGCUAGUUGGCGGGGUAAAGGCCCACCAAGGCGACGAUCCGUAGCUGGUCUGAGAGGAUGAUCAGCCACACUGGAACUGAGACACGGUCCAGACUCCUACGGGAGGCAGCAGUGGGGAAUAUUGGACAAUGGGCGCAAGCCUGAUCCAGCCAUACCGCGUGGGUGAAGAAGGCCUUCGGGUUGUAAAGCCCUUUUGUUGGGAAAGAAAAGCAGCAGGUUAAUACCCCGCUGUUCUGACGGUACCCAAAGAAUAAGCACCGGCUAACUUCGUG